UAAAAACUUCUAGAAUUGGCGCCUAAAACAAUGCAUGAGGAAGGUGUGAUCCCUUCUCUCACUUUGGCACCUCCUUAUUUAUUCCUACACCUAUCUACUAACACACCCCCCCUAAGACUCCUAACUAAAGACUAAAAGAUGCUUUAACAAUAGAAGUUUCUAAUGUUUCCCUCUAAGCACCUUCAACAAUAUUCUUUAUUAUUUACUACUUGGCCUUGCCCUUCAUAGGAUGGACUUGGGCUUGGGCUUGGGCUUUGGGCUUGGGCCUCUCUUUAUUUUAUGUCUUCUUUUAAUUUUGAGAAGACUAGAAGGAAGAACUUCAAGUGUG
RNAcentral lists this long non-coding RNA (328 nucleotides) under Phaseolus vulgaris (common bean). RNAcentral describes it as "long non-coding RNA (PVUL_LNC000199)". The record is from RNAcentral. Lineage: Eukaryota; Viridiplantae; Streptophyta; Magnoliopsida; Fabales; Fabaceae.